Molecule: long non-coding RNA, 4041 nt
Organism: Crotalus tigris (Tiger rattlesnake)
Lineage: Eukaryota; Metazoa; Chordata; Lepidosauria; Squamata; Viperidae
Exons: 2
Source: RefSeq, a predicted model, not a curated record
AAAAAAGAAAGAGAAUCCAUUUACUAUUACAACUUUCAUGAUCUUUAACUGGGUAAAACAGUUCAUCUUAGGGCAACUAUUCUGAACCAAGGUAUCUCAAAUGGACUAACGUACAGAAUAUAUCCCAAAAGUAGCACCAAGGGACUGAAAUUUGGAAGGUUGUAGUUGCUUCAGGACUGCUGGCUGCUGCUGUACUGCUGCUACGGUCAUGUGAUCUUCAUUUUCAAUGUUCUGUGGCAGUUUGUCAGCCAGUCUCACAAUCCCUGGUUCUUCACCCAGCAGCAUCACUCACCUGCCUGCUGGGAAGGAAGGGAAAGGAAAGAAGGAAAGGGGAAGAAGGAACAGCUGUGUAUCCUUCCUGGCCUAAGCCACCCACUGCAUAUUUCCCGAACCUGUGCUACCUCUGCACAACUUCCCCAACUCAUGUUGCUCUCUCUUCAUGCCUUCCCCAACCCAUACAGUAUUUCUUGCACACCCCCAUAUACCCUUCCUGACCUGCACCUGUGUGCCUUCCUUGACCCAUACGAUACCUCUUUGGCACCCACCAUACCCUUUCCAACCCAUGUCCUCCCCAACUAGCACAGCAGCUCUUACACAUCACUGUGACCCCUUUGCAUUGUUCUUGUCCUGCACUUUCCCCGCAUACCCUACUUGACCCAUGAGGGAUCUCUUACACCAGGGGUCCCCAACCCCUGGAUCAUGGACCAGCACAAGUCUGCAGCAUGCCAGAAACCAGGCUGUGCAAAUAAGGAAAGCCCCAUCCACCAGAUGCAGGCAGCACACAAAACCACACCUCUUCCAGUCCGCGGAAGAACCUCUCUCCACAGAUCAGGUCCAUGGUUUCCAAAAGGUUGGGGCCACUGUCUUAUACAACCCCAUGACUCCUUACUCUUCUUUACCUGCAUCCCCACUGUAGCUCCUGACCAACACAGCACCUUACACACACUGGAACUUUUCCAGACCUAUGCCACCCAUCUGCACAGCAUCUCUGGUGCACACUCACACACCCCUUGCAACCCAUGUAAUACCUUUCAUGCACCUCACAUACCAUUCCUUGAUGUUAUUUGGGGCUGCUGCUCCGUCGCUUAUUUCCCUUCCUCCACUCUCCCCCUUUAUAUAAAUGUCUAGCCAUUAAAUAUAUGCAUAUAGUACAUGAAAGUAAUUUUCUUUCUAAAAAUGCAAACAUCUAAAUCAAACAUUAUAUCCCAUGUAAAUGGCAUUUUCUCCCAAUUCUGAAUCUUUUAAAUGUAUUCAGUGUGGUGUUUUUCUAAAAAGCAUAAUCCUGUAAAUUGUAUUCCUAUGGCCUAGGAGCACAAUAUUUACAACCUACUUAUCCUGAGUGAAUCUUUCCUCCUGGUAAGCAUACUUUGAAUGGCAGCAUCAAUCUUCUGUUAUUUGAUUACAGACAUGAAAGAGAAGAUUUUUUUUCAAUUGUAGCGCUAUGAGUUAAAGGUUCACACAUAUUGAAAAUGACAUUUUUACUUAAUUGAGGCCUGUUCUGUAUCCAGCUGGUUUCAAAAGUCUUUUUAAAAGUAGCAUUUAAAAACUAGCAUAUCAAAAACUAUAAAUGUUAGAAAAUACUUUGCAUAUUGAACUAUAGUCAAUAUUUCUGACGUUCUUUUCAGUUUAAGACCUACUGAAAUUCUCCAACUAUUAAAAUAUUCUCCCCAUUUUUAAAUACUGCGUAGUUAUAGUCUGAACUUCAACAAGCUGCUGUAUCCUAAAAUGAUUAAACAGAUGUGAAGCCUAUAGCAGCAUUAGACCUCUGAUCUGAUUUUAGCAUACAGAUGGAAUUAAAUUAAUUCAUACCAAACCCUGUAAAAUAAAAGGUAUGGCAUUGAAUGCUAGUGCUCUGUUUAACUAGAAUGUACCUGUACCAACAGCUGUUGAGAAAAAUUGUAUGCCUUAAUUUUCAUAGAAAUCUACCCUUAAUGAUAUCACAUUAUUUUGAAAUAAAAAUUAAAUUGCAAAUUUGUUUUCUUUUUGCCCCUUUUUGCCUGUUUUUAAGGAGCUCCCCUGAUUUAUUACAUAUAUACUAUUGCCUUUUGGUUUUACAAACUUUGUAUUACAUUUUCAAAACAUUUGCAUAAUAAAAAGUGCCAUCAAAAAAUUUGAGGCUAAUUUACUAUUUGAGUGCCAUUUACUAUGGUGUAAUUUUGUGAGUUUGGAAGAUUUUGUUUUGUCAGUAUAAAUUACUGUAAUAUCAAGGUGAUGUGGAUGGGUAUAUAUACAUGUAUCAUGAUAACCUUUUAACUGUUGCCAGGUUUUAGAUACCAGUCAAAUUUAGCAGAUUUUAAAAAGACAGAGAGGCUGGUGUGCCAAUGGAUCAACAGAAAACUAUCAGCAAACAGCAUUAACUAGGGUUUGUUGGUGAAAACGCUCAGCCAAUCUCAGACAGCAACAUUGGGAAUCGGAUGCUCCAAAGCAUGGGCUGGACACCUGGUACAGGCCUUGGGCCAGAUGGCAAAGGGAUAGCCGAACCAAUCCGGGCAGUUCAGAGGCCAAAGGGACUUGGACUUGGAUUCAGCUGACAGAAAGAGAUUCCAGUUGCUGGUUCAGACAUCAACAAAACUAACUUGAACUUUGAAUAUCUGAAAACAUUCUAAUUUGUUGCCAAGACAUCCAGUGAUUCUUAUUGUAAUUUUUUAAUAGAGAUGCUUCAUUGUUUUCUGUUAAAGCUGUGUGGGGACAGUCUUUAGGGCAGUCCUAAUCUUUAUCCUGAGUGUGUAAUAAUGAUCAUCUUUUAAAUUGUACCUUUUUUUAAAAAAAAUUCUGUGGUCUUAGUUAUGUUGUCAAAGAUUCAAAGAAAUUAUUAAAUUCUCCUGCCAUUUUUUAAAAGCCUUGCCAACACCAUACAUAAACCCAUUAUCUCUUGCUGGUUUAACAUAGGUCUUUUACUCUGGAAAGCUGCUUAGUUACUAAGGCAUCUUGUCUGGGAAGUAUUUUGCUGUGUUUCUCACAUUCAUUCCAAAAAAUUGUAGUGGAUAGUACAAAAGAAAGCCUGGCUACAAAAUUCUUUUUGUAGUAAGAGGCAAAAAUAGAAUAGGAAAAGAAAUCAGAGUUUACCUUUUGAAUUGAGAUGCGCAAAAUGCUUUGAGCUAAACACAGCAUAUGGGGUUAGAUGGGGUUAACAGUGUCAUUUUUUACAUGGGUGUGAUAAAUGUAAUGAAUGUUAACAGGGUAAGGUGUUUCAAUUGCUUUGUGGCAUGGACUAUUUUUGUGCUAUAUAUAUCUGUCUCUCCACAGAUGCCCCCAAUCUGUAGUCCAAAACAUUAGGGGCAAAGCCUAAAUUAAAUUGUGUGUAUAUAAUUAAAUUAAUUACAUACAAGUAAUAUGAUAUUUUAUAUUUCUCAUCUUUGAGCACUAUAAUUGUGAUUGCAACAGGUGCUACAUCAAAUUUUGGGGGUCACAUUUAGCCCUGGAGCCUCAGGUGAUGCAACCUUGUUUUUAAAAUAUUGCCAUAUGACUCUAUAUAGCUUUGAUUCAUUGGGUCUUCUAAAUGGUUCAGUAUUGUUAUAUGCAAUCUCUCUAGAUCGUCUUACGUUGCAUCUUGCUUCAAAAUGUGCAGUUUUGCACGAGAAAUGCAAAAUGACAAAUGAUGAAUUUGUCUUCCAACAUUUGCAGCAGGUAACUCAAUUCUCUUUUUUUAUUUACAUGCCCUCCAAGUACAAUAUUAACCUUUUUUUUAAACUUUCCUUUCUGGUGUCUUAGCUUGUAUUCUUUUUAAAAUAAAUUUUUAAACCUACUGUCACCUUUUACCAUGUCACUGUGACUGUCUAACUUGAGGGGAUGGAUUUAAAAUGGGACCAUAUUAACUAGAGUCCAUCCAUGGUAGUUUGGGGAAUAUUUCUGUAAUUGACAAAUGGUGCCUGCUAGUGAGAAGGAAGGCUUCCCAGGCACAAAUUUUUAAAUAAAAAAAAAUGACAAAGGGAAUAGUAAAACAGACAGUCUUUUGAUAAGAUUAACAAUAUUAUACUUAAUCUUUGGACUUGUCAUUGUGCUGACAUCUCAAAUUCAUUAAAGAGGACUUCCAUCAAUGCA